GGGGUUGUAGCUCAGUGGUAGAGCGCUCGCCUCACACAUGCGAGACCCUGGGUUCAAUUCUCAGCACCA
This 69-nucleotide transfer RNA is filed under the name Ictidomys tridecemlineatus (thirteen-lined ground squirrel). RNAcentral's name for it is "Spermophilus tridecemlineatus (thirteen-lined ground squirrel) tRNA". It matches the Rfam family "tRNA". Rfam says of the family: Transfer RNA (tRNA) molecules are approximately 80 nucleotides in length. Their secondary structure includes four short double-helical elements and three loops (D, anti-codon, and T loops). Lineage: Eukaryota; Metazoa; Chordata; Mammalia; Rodentia; Sciuridae. The record is from Rfam by way of RNAcentral.